UACACUGUGCUUUUAGUCAGAUUCAAGCCGUUCGAUUUGACCAUGGAUUUAAAGGAAGCACAUCGACAAUGUGUGCAAUACAUUAGUGUAAUAUUGUUGAAUUUUUAUUAUGGGAGUGUUUGUGGCUAGAAUUAAUCUUAGCAAGCCUAAAGUUAUUAUGGUGUAUUGGUGUGUAUGACUGCCAACGAACUCGGCCUACUAAAGUCUAUGAUAUAAAUGUGUUUAAUAUUACAGUUUAGUGGUAUUCUUCUUCAUUUGUAAGUGAGAGAUUUUAGGUUUGAAUUUUGAGAACAGUGAGUUCGCAACCAAUCUACUCUCACUUCUUUAGUUGUAUUCUUUUUCACUUGUAAGGAUUAAGAAACAAUCGAAUAGACGUAAAAUCGACAGUAAGGCACGAACAUUGUAGAUUUGGGCUUAGUGUGCGAUUUGGGUCUUCGCUUGGAAGGAUAUAAGAACAGUUGAAAAGAUGAAAAAUGGGCAACAAGGCCUAAAGAUUAUAAAUUUAGGCAAAUGUCCAAUUUCCACCCAUGAUUCGCCAUUUCAAUGAGAACAAUGAAGUGAACAAGACGUGGAGUUCACCUCAACGUAGGGGCAUUUUUGUUUGUUGAAUUCCAUCAUUUAUUAGUCUAAAACGGAACUUUAAAAUUUAGGACCUUUUCGAUAUUGUGUUGUUUGUUUAAAUCACAGUUAUACACCUAUUUUUUGGUCGAGAGAGACUGUGAAGAAUUUCACCAUGUUCGUGGUCACAGUCAAGCCGACUCAUUAGCUCGGAGCAUCUAACUCUAAACGUCCCAUAUUUUUUUUGUUUAUUGGAGAGCCUCAGUUCGCGUUUCUUACCACUGAGUCAUUUGCUAUGGUUGUGUGGAUUAAUUUAUUGGAUGCGAACCUCAGUGGCAUAGACUAAGCAAAAGCAGGACAUCAUGGUACCAAUAUUUAGAUAAUAAUUAUCCUUUUGCCUUUCUCCCAGAAUCACACCAACACGUUGCUCAAGAAGAACAUACACACCCACACCCCAAUGAUCGCAUUAAGUCCAAUAUUCCAAUAUAUAAACACACCCUGCAACGAGAUUGGCGCAUCGUAUUCUUGCUUAAUCAUCGCAUUAACAAAUUACGAACCAAAAUAGAAGUGAUUUUUCUCAGCGUAUAACAGUUGCAAUGCUCGUGUAUCAAUCACUUACGUACGUGUAAUAUUAUACUUUUAUGAUAUAUCAAUUAUACUAGUGUUAUUUGUAUUAUACUACUUAUUACGCGUGAGUCUGUAAUAGUACUCCAACAUUUCUUGUCAAGUACAAACCAAAUUCUUGAAGCUUGUGAAAUUUGUGACAACGUUUUGAGCAAAGAAAACAAUUUUCUUUAAUAAUAAUUAACACCAAAUUCUUGAGUACUGCAAAAUCACUUUUUUUUUUUUUUUUUUCAUUUUAUCUUUGUUAGAAAUAAGAAGAAAAAAACUCACGUGAUGUGCUUUUUUCGCUCAUAAUGUCACGGUACCAGGGAUUCCCGUGGUGUGAUUGGAACCAGUGAUGGUUUUGAUGUCGUUUUGUAACUUUUCUGCAAAUGGUUUCUGACACUUUGAUCUGAGAGCCUGAGAGUCUCCGCCCUUUCCAGUUCUCCCCCUUUGCAGCUUUCUUUCUGGGAGUUCUCACUUCCACCUUCUCUAUCCCUAUAAUUUUUGGAUGAAAUGCCUUCAAUUAUUGUUUUGUUUACUAGCUAGAUGCUCAACAAACAAAUUUAGAAGUUGGUUUGUUAGUAGUGGAAAAGUGGGAGUAUUGGAUGGCUAGUGGUUUAGGCUAGUCAACUUUCUUUGUGUAAGUUAGACAAGUUAUGCAAGUUACGCAAGUUAGGCUAGUGGUUUAGGCUAGUCAACUUUCUUUGUGUAAGUUAGGCAAGUUAGGUAAGUUAGGCAAGUUAGACUUUUGUCUUUUUUAAGUUACGUAAGUUAGGCAAGUUAGGUAAGUUAGGCAAGUUAGGCUUUUGUCUUUUUUAAGUUAGGCCAGUUAGGCAAGUUACGUAAGUUAAGCAAGUUAUGCAAGUUACGUAAGUUAGGGUUAUGUCUUCUUUCUUUCCCUAUAUAUAUGUUUCAUCUUGUAAUUGUUUCUUCAUGGAAUACACAUCAAAAAUUCUACAGUUGGGGUUUAGUAUGUAUAAUAAAUAAAUAUUGAGCGACCCCAUCAUCAUUUCUCCUAUACAGGAGGCACCCCACCACCUCUCAUUUUCCUGUAAACCGUUUCAAUAACAUGUCCUGGGAGGAGAAUGGCCACCGCGUGGUGCGCACCCUUCAUCUUGUUGUUCAUGGCGUUCAUUGCCUUCAUGGUGUCCAUAAACUUGGUCAUUUCGUACAAGCUGUUUCCACCGCUCCCUCCCAAUUUCCUGUUUAUCGCCGGUGAUUGGAGGAAGGAGGGCUCGGUGAGUCCAGUCAAAGACUAUUUAUUUAAUUUUUUUUUUUUUGUUAAUACGAAAAUAAUUCUGGUUUUAUUUGUUUGUUAAUGAUUAAUCAUUGAUGUUUGUCUUGUUGCGUGUUCAUAAUCCGUUUAGACUUUUGGGUUUGCUUGAUGAUAGAGCAAAGGUGUGUGAUUAGGGAGUCGUUGACUUUGCUAAUCUGAUUGUUUGUUGCUUAAGCAAAGGUGUUUAACCUAAAUCAACCUUCGACUGUUCACUUAAAACAGCUGAUGGUCGCUGAUAAUUUCGUAAUCCAAAGUUUCAGGCAUAGAUUUUGCAGUUUCCAUGUUUCCAGGAGUUACCUUGUAUUUUGAGACCACACAUGUGAACAUAAUUCCAAUUUUUUGUGUUGUAAAAAUGAAAAAUGGAUAAAAAUAUCUUCCUAUUUUCGUGGUAGGAAAAAGAACAGGUAAAAAUAUCUGACAAGAAUCUCAGCUCCAUUGAAGUAAAAGGGUCCUCUUAUCAGGCUCUCUUUGUAAUUCAUUGGCUUUUGAUAUAAAUUAUCCGAAAAAGUAGAUAGUUUUGAAUUCAACUAGUACUCAAUUGGACCAGCGUAUCAUAAUUAUCGGAGAAAUAAUUAGUUGAUGCAUUUGCUCUAACCUUACCAUGUGUCCCUGGCAAGUGAUUUGUAGGUUCAGAUACUGUCAUGACCAAAUAUUUGCAUAUGAAUUAUGUUAAUUUACUCUUGGAAUAAUUUUGAGGGGUAAUCGGUUGAGUCUCUGAUUGUAUUUCGUUUGUCGCCCGUUAAGUCAUGUUACAUUGUUUUGCUUUCGUGUUGAAACAGAGCAAGGGCAAUCCUAAGAGCAACUCCACCGGGAACAAAAUGUCCCAGCCCUCAGUCCAAAAAACAAGCCAGCCCUCAGUGAAUUUGCUCCAGCCCACAAAAUGUCCCAGCCCCCAGCCCAUGCCAGGCAACAGGCCAGCCCAUUUCGGACAGACCCAGAGGCCGGCCUAUUGGCUGGCGCGUGCAGCAGAAUCGCGCAUGUGCGCGAGUAGCAGACAGGGUUGCAGGCGGCGGGGCCCGCUUGUCAGCCCACUUGUGUUCACCCGGAAUAGGGCUACGUGGCCCUCCUCAGUGCCGUUGGAUUUCCAACGGCUAUUUUUUGUAGACCGUUGGAUUUCCAACAGUAAAAAAAAUUUAAAUUUGACUUUUAAAAAGGACCGUCCGAUCACAGAUCAACGGUCCACGUUAAUGAACUAAAUUAAAAUUUAUUAAAAAUACAGAAAAAUUAUUAAAAAAUACAGAAAAGUUUUAAAAAAAAGAAAAAAAUUCUAUAAAUACCUAACCCUCAUCUUCCACCUUACACCACAUUUCAAUAUUUUCUACACUUUCUACCAAAGCUUUCAUAUACUUUUUGUGUGAAAAAAAAUACCAAAAAGCUUGUGGUUGAAGAAUAAAGUGUAUUUGAUGAGUUUAUGUAAUUUCAUUUUAGUGUGUUUUUUUUUAUAGUUUAUUUGAUGAGUAUGUAAUUUUAUUACUAUUCACUCCAGUCUAUUACUGUUCACUUGAGUGGAUAAAUGCGCUGGGUGCUGGCGCAAAGUCCUUAGGGGUGGAAUUGCUCUAAUGAGAGGAAGGAGUAGUGGAGGUCUGUAUUACAUCGCAAAUAGUCGAAUAAGCAGCAUGGUGUUUCUAAUCCAAAAGCAUUUCUUGGGCAAAUCAUGAAGGCUUUCUUGUGGCACCACAGAUUAGGACAUCGCAGAAAUGCUAUGUUACAUAGAAUGUUGUCUCAUUCUAAAGUUGUGUAUAAAUCAGAUAUAAAAGAAACACCAUUAGUGUAAUGUUGUCUCAUUCUAAAGUUACAUUAGUGUAAUGUUGUUGAAUUUUUAUUAUGGGAGUAUUUGUGGCUAGAAUUAAUCUUAGCAAGCCUAAAGUUAUUAUGGUGUAUUGGUGUGUAUGACUGCCAAUGAACUCGGCCUACUAAAGUUUAUGAUAUAAAUGUGAUUUAAUAUUAUAGUUU
RNAcentral lists this long non-coding RNA (4393 nucleotides) under Malus domestica (apple). Its description in RNAcentral is "long non-coding RNA (MDOM_LNC014480)". The record is from RNAcentral. Lineage: Eukaryota; Viridiplantae; Streptophyta; Magnoliopsida; Rosales; Rosaceae.